Molecule: long non-coding RNA, 1736 nt
Organism: Lagopus leucura (white-tailed ptarmigan)
Lineage: Eukaryota; Metazoa; Chordata; Aves; Galliformes; Phasianidae
Exons: 3
Source: RefSeq, a predicted model, not a curated record
UGUUGUUUAUUUUUGCCCUGUAUUUAUCUGCAUGCUCUGUACACGGAGCAGGCAUCAACCACUGAGAGCUGGGAGCCCUUCACUGCGUCCUGGAUUUGUUUUCCUUCCUUGUUGGAGCGUGAUUCUUUGCAGGUGCUGUGUGCAUUUGAAGUAACUGUGAACUGAGCUGAGAAAACAGGUGUGUUAGAGAGUCCCCAAAUCCUUAGUUUAGUGAGGGCCUUCUUUCUCCAUCUCUCAGUUGUUUUUCUUCUUUUCUCUCUGUUAGCACGGCAUACCUGGCCCACCAGACAAUCCAGCAGGGAGUGGUACCUUCAUUGCCAUGCACAAGCAUUAUCACCUUCUGCAGUGGUCAGCAAAAGGGGCGUGUGUGUGGGGCGUGUGGCACAGAGGCAGGCUGGCAUGGGCAGUGCAGAGGCAGGCUAUUGGCAUGUUGCAAAACAAAAGCAGGUAGGGGCAUGCGACACUGUUGCAAUUUGUUGUGUGCAGUGCAAAAGCAGGUGAGAGCUUGCGAAGCUGUGGCAAGUGGGGGCAUGGACUCCACCUGCUGGUAUGAGAGAGCUAAAGAUGCCUUAGCUGUGCGAGAGCUUUGAGAGGUGGAUGGGGAGUUCUUGACCAAGGAAGAGCCCUGUGGUCCUUGCCCCUGGGGAGAGGGUGGGAUUGCUGAAGGGAGAGGGGAUUCUGUGAGUGAUCUGAGGGGUGUAGGAAGGGAACCGACAGGUUUAGGGUUCCUUUGCCAUGCUCUGCCCAGGCUGUGACAGUGCUGGGGUUGGUUUUUGAGUCACUCUGAAGACACAAUGAGACAAAGGUUAUUUUGCGCAGCCUGAAACCCUGCAAGUCUGCUCUGCCUCCAUGACUGCUGACCACGCUCUUCCCUUCUCCGCAAUGACCACGGCCAGCCCCAUGAAGACCCUGUACGUCACGUCCGAUGGCCGUCUGUCUGCGCUGCCCAUGGCUGUGAUGGAUGAGGCUACCUCAUGUCCCCUCCACCUGCCAGGCAUCCAAGCUUCCUCCUGCUCCACCAGCUCUCCCACUGGCUCCGACACAUUUGCCACCUCCCGUGUCGUGUGGUGGAAAUGCAUGGUGCUGGGGCAGGCCCAAACUCCCACCCUGACAGCAGGCACAUUUCCAAAAGCUCUGCUCACUUCCUCGUUCUGCUGGCUCGUGAGAAGAUCCUGUUGUCAGCUGUGCCAACCAGCACAGCAGAAUGUGAUUGUUAUGGGCAGCCUGGGAAACAGCAGGGGAAUAACCCUUUCCCCCUUUGGCUGUUAUUUGUUGAGAAAUGCUGUCUGGUGAGUGUUCAGUCAGGGCCUGAACCACUGAUGGAGCAUCUGGGGAAAGGACCCAGUCAGCCCUGGGAGCACAGGUGAGGGCAGUUCAGUUGUAUGAUGGAAUGAGGGGAGCCUGGCUGCACCUCUCCUAGACCUCACUGAAGGGCUGACUGUGCAGUGGGCGAGGAUAUGUGGUUGGAGAUCCCUCCCUUGUGGAGUUUUCCCUGUGAGCCUGGAUCUUCAGGGACAGACGUCCUCUGCCCCUUCCCACCUGUAAAGCAAACAAGGCGAUGACAGAGCCUUUAUUUGAGAUAGAGGAGCUAUAGAACAGGAUAUCAAAGCAAGAGGAAUCGACUCAUCCCUCCCAGCAACAGUUUGGCAGAAAGCGGAGGCAUUGUGCUUCCCAAGCAGUGCGUGGACCUUUCUGGUGGCAGUGAGCAGCAAGGAACCAACUGGGUCUCAGCUUCC